Molecule: non-coding RNA, 111 nt
Filed under: Mycolicibacterium litorale
Lineage: Bacteria; Bacillati; Actinomycetota; Actinomycetes; Mycobacteriales; Mycobacteriaceae
Description: Mycobacterium litorale TPP sequence
Rfam family: TPP riboswitch aptamer (THI element)
About the family: Vitamin B(1) in its active form thiamin pyrophosphate (TPP) is an essential coenzyme that is synthesised by coupling of pyrimidine and thiazole moieties in bacteria. The previously detected thiamin-regulatory element, thi box was extended, resulting in a new, highly conserved RNA secondary structure, the THI element, which is widely distributed in eubacteria and also occurs in some archaea. Analysis of operon structures identified a large number of new candidate thiamin-regulated genes, mostly transporters, in various prokaryotic organisms.
Source: RNAcentral
GAAGCUUGGCACGGGAGUCCCUGGAGCGGGGCUGAGAGUGGAGGUGACACCUCCAGACCGUCACCACCUGAUCCGGGUCAUGCCGGCGAAGGAAGCGAAGGGGACAUGUCG